GGGUGGAGUUGAACUGCGAACCCCGAGAAUUCAACUGGUGAGUGUGGUAUGAGCUUGGCAUAAUGGUUGGCUUUGCGGGUCUGCUUAGCUGCAGGUCUUCACCUCUUGGUGGAGAUGCGCGAUACACUUGUCAAGUGGUGCGCGCUCGUUGAGUUACUCGGACAUGCUUGCCAGUGCACUUUCUCGGGGUGUUCACCACGACCGGCGCCGCUACUUGUCUAAUAUGGUUAAACCGGUCUUGCUUGGUCCUUGUGGCUUUGCUUGAUCGGGAUGGCAGGUAACUCGUUAACUUGUGUGUUGGCUUCGGUUGACAUGCGCUUGGUUUUCGAGUGUAAUCAGCUGACUGUAUUGGUGCUAUGUAGUGCGUCGGAGACGGCGGCUUGUGGUGUGUGCCUGCGUGCCUAUUUGCUGACGGAACCGGGUUUGGUUAUUUUGUUGCCUGUUCUGCAGGCCUGGUGAUGGCCCGGUUUCGCUUGGUGGAUGGGGGCGUGUGUGACACUUAUCAGGGCCUAUAGUCUGUGGUGUUGUGGUAGACUAUCCACCUGACCCGUCU
This 553-nucleotide ribosomal RNA is filed under the name Catatropis onobae. RNAcentral describes it as "partial large subunit ribosomal RNA". Lineage: Eukaryota; Metazoa; Platyhelminthes; Trematoda; Plagiorchiida; Notocotylidae. The record is from RNAcentral.